This is a long non-coding RNA of Lolium rigidum, 539 nucleotides long. RefSeq lists it as uncharacterized. Lineage: Eukaryota; Viridiplantae; Streptophyta; Magnoliopsida; Poales; Poaceae. The transcript is spliced from 2 exons. The record is from RefSeq and is a predicted model, not a curated record.
GUACUAUGUUCCUCACAUGGUAUAACUAUGAAGAAGUGCUUGAUGAAUCUGUACAUGACGGCACAUACGGGCUGCUUCCAGGUGGUCAUCACUGAUAACCAAUAUCGCAUUGGUGCUUUGGUUCGGAUUAGGAGUCUUCAUGAUGUUCUGCCAUUGUUUGCCUAGAUAGUUGGUGUGCCAUGAAAGUAGGCCUAUUUUAUUUUUUCCCGCUAUUGUCUUCUAACUGACAGAUAUGUUACGUUGGUAGACGAUACAUCCAAGGUAUGUUUCCUAAAUGAAGUCAAAAUUUGAAUUUAUCUCCUGAUCUUGAGAUAUGAAGCAAUUAUUUGUGUCAGGAAAAGAGAGGGUCUAAUUCAACUGUGAUGACUUUUGCAAUUUGAACAGUGUAUUACUAUUUCUCAUUGUAAGCCGAAUUAGUUUAUUACUAUCUGAAAAAUGUCCUCGCACAAUUCAACAUGAAAUCUAGGAGGCUAAAUUUUGUAACACAUUUAUAAUAGCGAUAAUCUUGGAUUUAAAGUGUCUUGUGGUAACUGGUGAAA